This is a long non-coding RNA of Lonchura striata (white-rumped munia), 3860 nucleotides long. RefSeq lists it as uncharacterized. The record is from RefSeq and is a predicted model, not a curated record. NCBI's taxonomy places the organism in Eukaryota, Metazoa, Chordata, Aves, Passeriformes, Estrildidae.
CAUGACUCCAUCGCAUUCUGAAUCACCCCCAAAGGCCUCACUGCCACUAUCCACAGAUCAUGUGUACUGAGCUGAACUCACAAUCUCUGCAUGGUCAGUUUGCAGAGUGAUGGAACAUGAGUCCUGCUGACUCAGGGUGAAACCCAGACUGGGAGAUUCUGCUGCUGCAGGGCAAGGGCCACCUCGGAAUCCUCGGUUAUCUGGGAUCCCAGCAACUUCCAAAGCACUGCUGAAGCCAAGCACCUGCCUGGGGAAGACAUUGCUCCACAAGCCUUUGAUGUGGCACAUUUAAGCAGCAGGUUCAACCAGUAAUUCAUUGAACAAAGCAUUCAAGGCAAUGGGACAAACCCAUGUGGGAAUUAGCCUGAGUCACACUGUGCAGGAGUGGCACCCCUAAGCUGAGCCUGAACCCAUCCCAGAGCUCUUCCCUUUUCAUCCAUUCAGGCUCUGCCACAGAUCAAAUUCUCCAUCUGAAAUACCAAGGUCCCCCUCAUCUGGUAUAAUUUUACCUUGAUUUUCAGACACCACUUUAUGUGGAUAGGCCAGACGAGGUUUCCUGAACACUCACUCAGGGAGAAGGAAAUAUCAGCAGAAAUUAAUGGAGAGAUGUCAGAGAUGUCACCUUGGGAGAUUUAAUUUACUGUGUCCCUUCAGUGCUUUGCCAACUUUCAGCUGAGGUUGGUUGUAUGAUUUGGUAAACUAAACUGGGGAAAGGCUGAUUGGAGAACAAAUAAUGGAGCUGGGGGUUCCAUGCUCCAGGAAGUAAAAUGAUAAUCUCCUAUCAAAAGACAAAUAUGUUAAUCUCUGGCAGUAAAAUUCAUAAGAGCAUCAUGAGAUAUAAAUUGAAAAAGAAAAAGACAAAGACAUAAAGAAAAACAGAGUAAUCCAGCCAUGGGAGAACAGCAAGAAAAGCAGCUGGUUCAGAUAUUCAUAUUGACAAAACUCUGGCUGGAUAUCAAAUAUAUCCCUUCCCACCCCAAAUUCCUGUGGGCUUCAAGGAAGCACAAACAUCCCUUAUCAUUCUACAUCAUUAAUUGCCAGUCCUACUCUGUCCAAGUACCAGAGCAUUGACCUCUGAAUGCAGAUACAAGUGGUCCUGCUCACCCCUUACCCCACGGUUCAGUCCUGUGGGUUCAUGUGGGGAGAAGCCUGAGUUGCCAUAUGGAACAUCAGUCCAAGGAAAGUCUUUUUAUCUUACAUAGAAGGCCAUUCACCAUCUCCCACUGGUGUCUGCCAUAAAAGCAAGACAAAGUGAGGUUGUUUCAGCACUGUCUGGUCUCAGGGAACGUGGAUGGAUGUCCAUCCAGUUUUACUGCAGUCUGGAAUAGAAUUUCUUCAUGCAAGGAGCACAUUUAGCUGUCUGCAAAUUCCAGAGGUGUUUUCAGUAGAAGUGCAAGGUUGUGCUACCAAAGGAGAACAUGAGCCAAAGAUGUUCUAUUAUCCAUAUCCUAUUAAAGGUCAGCCAGAGCUCUUACCUCAGUGCUAUAAUGUGACCAGAAACUUAAUUGAAAAUAUACAAAAAGGUUAUUAACGAAGAGAUGAAACCGUAGUAAAUUUAAUAUAGCCCACAGAAGGACUCUUGCUAGAAUGAGAAGGUUACGUAGCUAGAUAGAUAGGCCUUUAAUUAAGGUGUAUUGCUGGGUUAAGUGUAAAUUUUCCAAGCAAAAAUGAAGAUAGAAAACUGGUAAUUGCUUCCAAUUUAUAUUAUAAAAAUCAGUCAUAUUCAUUUUAGUUCCUAGACAGCCUUACUUAAUUCUAAGCCUCAAUCACUUAAUUGGAAGGGAGAAAUCUUUGAGUAAAAACAUAAGGAAUUGAGGAAAGAGACAGUCAGAUUGCAAGAACUGAAUGAACAGCACUUUAAAUGAAAUCAUUAAACCCCCUCGUCCAAGAUUUCAUAUUUGCUCUCCUCAAGGGAUAUUUAUUAUCAAAGCUGAGUAGGAAAAGAUUGGGAAUUAUAUCAGAAAAAAAAUCUAUAAUGGUUUCUUGAAAAUUGAAUCUGAAGAACUCCCUCUUUCUAUUACUGUCAUAAUUUCUCCAUGUCUCAAAGUUAGUGUAGAGUAGAAACUCAGAUAUUUCUCUCACUGACACCUCUUGCAACUCUGGUGUCACACAUAACACAAAGGUUCACAACGGUGCACAGAAACUACAUUUACCUCAACCAAAUUCUCAUUUUGUUUACAACAGACUUGCAGGGGGGAGUACAUUCAAGGAGGGCUUUGUUGUGAGUGUUCACACAACUCUCCUUGCAUCAAUCAGCCUCAGGAAAAAAAAAAAAAAGCCUUUCCUGAAGGGUGAGUCUUUGUGGGUUUGGGAGCCAACCAACGAUGAUUAGGAAACAAUCCGUGGUGGCUGAGGUGGCAGAUAAGAAGUAGAGAUGUGAAGAGCUGACAUUUAAAAGUAAUAGUCCUGGAGAAUACCGGUGAUUCACAAAAGCAGAUAUCAGAAUCAGUUGAUGACUACUGUUGAAUAAUAAGCCUACAUCCAUUCAAAGAUGAAAAAAAAAAAUUUUUGCCCUAAUGAAUAUUGACUUAUGAGAGGGGUUUAGCUCUGCAGGGUGAAUAUUCACAGAGCUUCAUGACUUAUAACUGCUCUCUCUCCUUCCCCUGACAAAGCCCAACACAGGAUGGGCUCUGGAUGUAAAUUCUCCACUUUCUCUGUUCCUGGACAGGAGAUAAAAUUCUGUAAUUAGAAUCAGCCAAGGUGCACAGAAUUUUAGUCCCUCCAUGCAUAAAUGAAAACCAGUGCAUCGGGAAUGCAUUUGUGGUGCGGGCAGUGGGUUCUGCCUCAGGCAAAUGCAUCAGCAGCACCAUUCCCAAGUCUUUUUGGGAUCCAUUUAAGCAACCACUUGAAGAGGAUCCAUAGCAGCAAGCGGGGAAAGCUGAGGCAAAGGUACUAAAUCUCUCCCUAUCAGAAGUCAAAUGAUGUUAGAGAAGUUACUCAAUGGAUGGUUUUGGUCUGCUUCUCUGGUUUCUGGAGGGAAGUGACAAGGGACACUGCUCCAUCAAUUGAAAUAAGGUUAAAACAUCCAGAUGCCAGUCGUUCAGAAAUAUAAAAUUAUCAUGCUGCAAAAGUAAUUAACACUUGCAGUUUUCAAAGGGCUGAGGAAGCUUUAACUAACUAAACAGUAAGGUUAGAGUAAUUGAAACUCAGAUGUUAGGUUGCUAAGGGGAACAGAAUAAUAGACUGAAUUAAUUAUCCUAGAGAAUUCAAGAUUAAAACACCAAAACAUUCCUAUGUUUACGUGAAAGGAACGAGCUCUCAGUAUGUCAAGAGCACUGAAGGUAGCAACAAUAAAUUUUUAUCUGUCAGCAGGAAGGGAAGAUAGAGCUCCAGAACGCCCAGGGAGGAUUAGGGAGAACAGUAGACAAUUGACAGUGAAACACAGACAAAGCUGGGAACAUAACCAUAAAGUGCUUGAGGAAAUCCUUAAAUCCGCUGGUAUUAAAGCAUUUACAGGGACUUUUCAAUUUCAUGGCAGCCUCACUAUCAGAGAGUUCUGUCAUUUCUGACAGUGGAAGCAGGCUCAGGUCUUCAAGUCAAAAAAGCUUUAGUGAGGUUUGAAGUUAUUCCAUGAAACAAUUUCAGAAGAUUUCCCAAGAUACAGCCAAUAGCUACCAGUGAGCCUUAGCUUGGAAUACAGAAACAAGUUUAAAAAAGGUAGGACAGAGGAUGAAACAGAAGCAUUUCAGCUGCUGGGGAGGGAGCACACACUGUCAAGGUUCAGUGGUGCCUUAUCUUAACAGCAAAGCAUUCCCCAGCCUUUGCUUCUGCCUCUGAGCUACUUUUGCUAAAAUUUAUAAUUACACCGAGAACUGGAUCAUUGAAAUAACCCAAGUAAAAAAAUAAAACAAUAAAAACCA